Molecule: long non-coding RNA, 1175 nt
Filed under: Nicotiana tabacum (common tobacco)
Lineage: Eukaryota; Viridiplantae; Streptophyta; Magnoliopsida; Solanales; Solanaceae
Description: long non-coding RNA (NTAB_LNC008081)
Source: RNAcentral
AGCUAAAAGGCGUGCAUUAAAGACUCAGAGGAACUUCAAGUUGGGAUGCCUAUCUCCCCGUCGAGCUAAUCCCCAUGGAUUAGGCUUGAAUGCUAAUGUACCAAAAUCAAUAGUGAAUCCUACAGAGGUAGCUCCUCUGACAAAUGAAGACGACGACAGAGAUUUUUUUAUCGAAAUUUAUAACAAAGAAAGGGAAGAGAUGGCUGAUACCAUUAGUAAAAACACAAACUCGGCAGAUGAUCUAGUAACUUCGAAUGAAGGCAGUGAAGUGGCAGCAGAUGAUACAGAGGGCAAUCUUGAUCAAAAGAGAGAAGAUAUUUCAGCAGAAAUUAACAUCCUUGGCUUCUCUCUUGCAGAGAAUCUAAAUGAAGGUGCUACUGAAGAGGCAGAUUGUGAAUCCUUGAGUAUGCAUAGUGAAUUAGAUAUAGAAGAGCCUGAAGCUUCCGAUAUGGACUGGGAUGUAGAGAAGUACUAUGCAAACAGCAAAGGCGAAACAGGUUCAAUCUCAAAUGAUAUAAAGCCCAUCACACUGGUUGAUGAUUCAGUUGGCAGCGGCGAGUUUAUGGAAAAAUCAUCUAUUCUGGAAGAGACCUUGGAUAACGGAAGUAUCAUCUCUGGAAUAAGUUAUGAUUAUGAUGACUCACAAUCUGCCUGUUCGCACACAGAAUUUGACAUAGAUGAGUGUGUUGAAGCGUCUGUGGACACCUCAAAUAACUCUCUGGAUGCCACUUUCUUUCUGGAACAGGAAAUAGCUGAGAAGCCAGAAGAUGAGCGCGGUCCCUGUCUAGCAGAUGGCGAGGCAGCAACAAUGGAUAAUCAGGUUGCUGUUACCUUCUGUCUAGAAGAUGAAAUUUCAGCUUCUUGCGAGGACGAUACAACUCUUCAAGAUGAUGAUGCAACUACACUUAUGGGGUAUCAAGAGCUAGAUGUUUGCAAUUUCAAUGAAGUACAAGAUGAAACAUGCAAGGACAAUCAAAAAAGUUCUGAUGAAAACAUUGCUGUCAAGAUGGAAGACGCGAAAACAAAAAUAGAUUGCUGUGAACAAGGAAAUGAAAAUGAUCAUGGCAGUAAUGAUAAACAAUUGGUAGUGGAUGCAGAUCUCAAGAGAACUGAAAGCGCUUCUGGUGUCAAAGCAGAUUCAACAACUGAGGCAUGUGAGGAAAAGCUGAACCAAA